UCUGCGGUUGCUCAUAAGCUAUCAUAGAAUUUCGUAGCAUAUCCAACUGCAUAUGCUGAUGUCGUGGCACCAAAAUGGAUGUCAGCAAUGCUGUGGUCAGAUUUGUGCAACUCGGCAGGAAGCAGAAGGAUAUUAAACAACAGCUUUUAUUGUCAGCUAAUGAUCUUGCAUUGACUUGCGGGUUAUGGGUGGUGUUACACCACGCAUCCAUGCAUACAUGGCAAGGGUGGUGGAGUUGGAAUGGCUGUUCAUCACAGCCUGUGCUGGUGAGAGUUUUCAAAACCAGCCGGCCUGUGCUGGGAAGUUGCCAGACAUUGCAGUUAUAAAGGACCAUGACGAGCCUUUGUUGUGGGCUUGUCGAUGAGGGAUGGGCUUCACUGAAGUCUGCCCAAUUAUCUCAAACUGCUACAGUUUUGUGGUAAGGAAGUGGGAGAGGCUGGGCACUGCCUGGUCCCCACAGCAUGUGCUGGGGUUUUGUAAGUAUGGCGAUAAUCGUUACAUGCCAGGCAGUGUUAGCCUGCCAGAACCUUGCCAACAUUGAUG
Molecule: long non-coding RNA, 543 nt
Filed under: Volvox carteri
Lineage: Eukaryota; Viridiplantae; Chlorophyta; Chlorophyceae; Chlamydomonadales; Volvocaceae
Description: long non-coding RNA (VCAR_LNC003786)
Source: RNAcentral